RNAcentral lists this ribosomal RNA (234 nucleotides) under uncultured bacterium. Its description in RNAcentral is "partial 16S ribosomal RNA". It matches the Rfam family "Bacterial small subunit ribosomal RNA", at positions 118 to 351 of the family's 1533-position model. The record is from RNAcentral.
UGGGCAACCUGCCCCUAGCUCUGGGAUAACUCCGGGAAACCGGGGCUAAUACCGGAUAUGACUCCUCAUCGCAUGGUGGGGGGUGGAAAGCUUUAUUGUGGUUUUGGAUGGACUCGCGGCCUAUCAGCUUGUUGGUGAGGUAAUGGCUCACCAAGGCGACGACGGGUAGCCGGCCUGAGAGGGUGACCGGCCACACUGGGACUGAGACACGGCCCAGACUCCUACGGGAGGCAG